UUUAAAAUUACAAAGCAGCUAGGAUGUUUAAUAUUUCAAGUCUAAAUUACAACAUAAACCCUCGUUUUGAGAAACACUGUGAAAGCAUCAGGGUUGGGUGCAUUUUAGAACAGCAUUUGUCAUGAAAAAAAGAGCUUGAACAUUUGGGUUGCCAAGGCAGAAACAAGCACCACAGACACAUUUUACCCUUAUGGGGAUUCAUCAAGGUUGAGCAGUGCAGCUGUUGUCUUAGUAAAAGAAAGUAUCAGCCCCUGGCUGGAAGAAACAGGAACAUAAUUAUGUUAUGAUGAGCUGGAAAACAUGCAAAGAAAAAUUGGAAUGCAAAGGAUGAUAAAUGAUGCUUUGUCGAUUGCAGAGCAGCAAGAAAACCAGGCGGCACAAUAAUAACUCUUCUCCAGUCAAUGCUUCCAGUUUGGCCACCAAAAUAAUGCACAACUCUAACCAUGACGGAAUAGCUCUUAUCUUUUGGCUGUAUUAUCUAGUCCUGAUACAAUGAUGCUGGGUUUGUAAAGUAGAUUAUGCAGUCAUUCUUAGUAAUAGAAACGAGAAAAGGAAUGGUCAGGUACUUCUCAUAAUUGAGACCAUAAUUCCAUGGGGAGAGAAUUUAUAAUGUCGUCUUAUUCUGAUUUUUAUGCAUAUUAAAAUUCAAAGCUUAGAACCUUGUCCUUUAAGAAGCCUUUUAAUUAUAUUUUCUGCCAUCAAAACUCUGUUUUUACUGAGGUGACCAACAUUUUGUGAAGAGUCAUACGGUUACACGCAGUCAUACAGAAGUAAAAUAGGAAAUGGCAUCCCAUAACAGACUCAUUAUCUGUCUGUCCUCACAGUGACAAGGACAGGAUUUCCCUUCAAGUGCUGCAGCCAUAUGCCUGUCCAGGGUAUAAACCACUGAAGUUUAUUCUCGUGAUGUGAGUGAAUCCAGAGGGAAAAUUGGACUAAUUAUAUUCCAGCACAGGAAAUUUUUAUUUAGAAACCAAUACUGGGCUGCAGAGAUAAAAAGGGACGAGUGUUUAAAGAAAACCUUAUCGUGAUAAAGGGGAAAAUGGCUAAAAAUUAAUAACAAUCCCGGAGGAAGGGAAUUUGGCAGGGAUGGGCUGUGCUGGGGCUGUGCCCUCUAGUGCAAGAGACCUGCAAUGCACACAAAGCUAGGGCAGAAUUUCCACCUUUUAUUUUGAUUCCCCACCUUUGGAGGAUGCUUUUUACAUAUUUCAUACUAAGAGUGCCUCAAAAUCAGGCAUUAAUAUUCUUGUGGGGUUUUUAGUUAAAACGCACAAAUGAACCUCUAAACAAAACAUGUAUUGCUUCUGUAGUGAAAACCAAGCAGCUCUCAAAUUAGCAGCUAUGUAGGAUGGAUCAUCUUCUAUACAGCAGUUUAAAGGACUGCAACCUAUAUUCAAGGAGUGUAUUUUUAAGUGUG
RNAcentral lists this long non-coding RNA (1414 nucleotides) under Strigops habroptila (Kakapo). Its description in RNAcentral is "lncRNA (ENSSHBG00005018543.1)". Lineage: Eukaryota; Metazoa; Chordata; Aves; Psittaciformes; Psittacidae. The record is from RNAcentral.